This 983-nucleotide long non-coding RNA is filed under the name Cyanistes caeruleus (blue tit). Its description in RNAcentral is "lncRNA (ENSCCEG00000014412.1)". The record is from RNAcentral. Lineage: Eukaryota; Metazoa; Chordata; Aves; Passeriformes; Paridae.
UGCCGCGAGCACUGCCCGCAGGAGAGCGGCAGCACUACAGAGGCGCCGCGGCCCCGCUGCACUGCGCGCUCCCUCCCUUCAGGGGACGGUGCUGCGCACAAAGGGCGGCUCAGCAUUGUUCUCCUCCCUGACCCCCAAAUCCCCUCUUCCCCGCCGGGAGAGGCGAACGGGAAGGGCCAGGACGAAGGGCGAAGACGGGGAGAGGCCAACUGCCCGCGGCGCUGGCCGCUUCCCAGCGUAUCCUGCCUGCCAUCUUCACCUUUCCCAAAACUUGCCUUCGUGCCGUGCCUGCCGUCGAAGCCCGCCUGCCCACCAUCCCUCGUUCCCUCUUCGCAAUGUAAUGGGUUUUUCACAUGUCACUUCGCCUAAAAAUCCCACUGAGGCUACAAAGGAACCUCUGCCCACAUCCCAGCCACCCAAGCAUCCUUGUCGAGCUUGUGCACGGGAUCACCCCGUUCACAUACCCACAGGGGAGAAAAAAACCCGCAACUGUACCAAUGCAAGCCCAGUGCAUUCCUGUCGCCACGCUCACAACUCCAUGGAGCAGACACCAAGAUACCGAGAGCCAGCAGAAAACUCAUAGCAUGUGAAGAAGAGAGUUGGAGCUACAACACGACACUGAGGAAAAACCACGGCUCGAUUUAAAUAAUUGCAUAAUAUUAGGAUUUAACUUAUAAAUGUUUACAUUUGUGUGAUUUGAUUAAUGUCACGUUUGAUUUCCUUAAAGCCACUGACAAGGUACUUUAAAACACGAGAUUAACGUCUACCAGCGAUGAAAUUCAACAGGCAAAUCCCCUUCCCAACACGCGGGCAGGCAGGGACCUCAGACCGCCUUUCUGCUCCCCGUAGCCCUCGGCCAAGGGGGCUCCCGGCACAUCCCGUGGUCAGCGAUCCCCCUCCCCCGCAGGUGACAGGAUUCCCGGCCGGUCCCUCCCCCGGCACCCGCCGCGCUGCGCGGGGCUCCGCCGGCGCUCCCGUUCAAA